AGGCGCAUGAUGAUUAGCUACAUGUUGGAAUUACCAUCAGAUUUUUAGUGAUGAUAAUAUUUGCGGCUUACUGACGCUCAUU
Non-coding RNA from Brachypodium distachyon (stiff brome), 82 nucleotides. The record is from Rfam. NCBI's taxonomy places the organism in Eukaryota, Viridiplantae, Streptophyta, Magnoliopsida, Poales, Poaceae.